UACAGAGGUCUCAAGCGUUGUUCGGAUUCAUUGGGCGUAAAGGGUGUGUAGGUGGCGCGCUAAGUCGGGUGUGAAAUUUCGGAGCUUAACUCCGAAACUGCAUUCGAUACUGGUGAGCUUGAGUCCGGAAGAGGCGAGUGGAAUUCCAGGUGUAGCGGUGAAAUGCGUAGAUAUCUGGAGGAACACCGGUGGCGAAGGCGGCAUCCUGGACCAACACUGACGCUGAGUGAGCGAAAGCCAGGGGAGCAAACGGG
This 254-nucleotide ribosomal RNA is filed under the name uncultured bacterium. Its description in RNAcentral is "partial 16S ribosomal RNA". It matches the Rfam family "Bacterial small subunit ribosomal RNA", at positions 524 to 776 of the family's 1533-position model. The record is from RNAcentral.